This 760-nucleotide ribosomal RNA is filed under the name uncultured bacterium. RNAcentral's name for it is "bacterial SSU rRNA". It matches the Rfam family "Bacterial small subunit ribosomal RNA", at positions 28 to 776 of the family's 1533-position model. The record is from RNAcentral.
AUUGAACGCUAGCGGAAUGCUUUACACAUGCAAGUCGAACGGCAGCAACAGAAAGCUUGCUUUCUGGGUGGCGAGUGGCGAACGGGUGAGUAAUGUAUCGGAACGUAUCCAAUAGUGGGGGAUAACUACGCGAAAGCGUGGCUAAUACCGCAUACGUCCUACGGGAGAAAGCAGGGGACCUUUUAGGCCUUGCGCUAAUGGAGUGGCCGAUAACGGAUUAGCUAGUUGGUGGGGUAAAGGCCUACCAAGGCGACGAUCCGUAGCUGGUUUGAGAGGACGACCAGCCACACUGGGACUGAGACACGGCCCAGACUCCUACGGGAGGCAGCAGUGGGGAAUUUUGGACAAUGGGGGCAACCCUGAUCCAGCCAUUUCGCGUGUGUGAAGAAGGCCUUCGGGUUGUAAAGCACUUUUGCCAGGGAAGAAAAGGGACUAACUAAUAAUUGGUUCUGCUGACGGUACCUGGAGAAUAAGCACCGGCAAACUACGUGCCAGCAGCCGCGGUAAUACGUAGGGUGCGAGCGUUAAUCGGAAUUACUGGGCGUAAAGGGUACGCAGGCGGCAUGGCAAGAAGGAUGUGAAAUCCCAGGGCUCAACCUUGGAACUGCAUUCUUAACUGCCACGCUAGAGUAGGUCAGAGGGGGGUAGAAUUCCACGUGUAGCAGUGAAAUGCGUAGAGAUGUGGAGGAAUACCGAUGGCGAAGGCAGCCCCCUGGGAUCAUACUGACGCUCAUGUACGAAAGCGUGGGGAGCAAACAGG